GCCGGGCGGAGAGGCUCCUCACUUCUCAGACGGGGCGGCUGCCAGGCGGAGGGGCUCCUCACUUCUCAGACGGGGCGGUUGCCAGGCGGAGGGUCUCCUCACUUCUCAGACGGGGCGGCCGGACAGAGACGCUCCUCACCUCCCAGACGGGGUCACGGCCAGGCAGAGGCGCUCCUCACAUCCCAGACGGGGCGGCGGGGCAGAGACGCUCCCCACAUCUCAGACGAUGGGCGGCCGGGCAGAGACGCUCCUCACUUCCUAGAUGGGAUGGCGGCCGGGAAGAGGCGCUCCUCACUUCCUAGAUGGGAUGGCGGCCAGGCAGAGACACUCCUCACUUUCCAGACUGGGCAGCCGGGCAGAGGGGCUCCUCACCUCCCAGACGAUGGGCGGCCAGGCAGAGACGCUCCUCACUUCCCAGACGGGGUGGCGGCCAGGCAGAGGCUGUAAUCUGGGCACUUUGGGAGGCCAAGGCAGGCGGCUGGGAGGUGGAGGUUGUGGCGAGCCGAGAUCACGCCACUGCACUCCAGCCUGGGCACCAUUGAGCACUGAGUGAACCAGACUCCGUCUGCAAUCCCGGCACCUCGGGAGGCCGAGGCUGGCGGAUCACUCGUGGUUAGGAGCUGGAGACCAGCCCAGCCAACACAGCGAAACCCAGUCUCCACCAAAAAAAUAC
This 673-nucleotide long non-coding RNA is filed under the name Homo sapiens (human). RNAcentral describes it as "HSALNT0054242". Lineage: Eukaryota; Metazoa; Chordata; Mammalia; Primates; Hominidae. The record is from RNAcentral.